AAAUUGAAGAGUUUGAUCAUGGCUCAGAUUGAACGCUGGCGGCAGGCCUAACACAUGCAAGUCGAACGGUAACAGGAAGCAGCUUGCUGCUUUGCUGACGAGUGGCGGACGGGUGAGUAAUGUCUGGGAAACUGCCUGAUGGAGGGGGAUAACUACUGGAAACGGUGGCUAAUACCGCAUAACGUCGCAAGACCAAAGAGGGGGACCUUCGGGCCUCUUGCCAUCAGAUGUGCCCAGAUGGGAUUAGCUUGUUGGUGAGGUAACGGCUCACCAAGGCGACGAUCCCUAGCUGGUCUGAGAGGAUGACCAGCCACACUGGAACUGAGACACGGUCCAGACUCCUACGGGAGGCAGCAGUGGGGAAUAUUGCACAAUGGGCGCAAGCCUGAUGCAGCCAUGCCGCGUGUAUGAAGAAGGCCUUCGGGUUGUAAAGUACUUUCAGCGGGGAGGAAGGUGUUGUGGUUAAUAACCGCAGCAAUUGACGUUACCCGCAGAAGAAGCACCGGCUAACUCCGUGCCAGCAGCCGCGGUAAUACGGAGGGUGCAAGCGUUAAUCGGAAUUACUGGGCGUAAAGCGCACGCAGGCGGUCUGUCAAGUCGGAUGUGAAAUCCCCGGGCUCAACCUGGGAACUGCAUUCGAAACUGGCAGGCUUGAGUCUUGUAGAGGGGGGUAGAAUUCCAGGUGUAGCGGUGAAAUGCGUAGAGAUCUGGAGGAAUACCGGUGGCGAAGGCGGCCUCCUGGACAAAGACUGACGCUCAGGUGCGAAAGCGUGGGGAGCAAACAGGAUUAGAUACCCUGGUAGUCCACGCCGUAAACGAUGUCUACUUGGAGGUUGUGCCCUUGAGGCGUGGCUUCCGGAGCUAACGCGUUAAGUAGACCGCCUGGGGAGUACGGCCGCAAGGUUAAAACUCAAAUGAAUUGACGGGGGCCCGCACAAGCGGUGGAGCAUGUGGUUUAAUUCGAUGCAACGCGAAGAACCUUACCUGGUCUUGACAUCCACAGAACUUUCCAGAGAUGGAUUGGUGCCUUCGGGAACUGUGAGACAGGUGCUGCAUGGCUGUCGUCAGCUCGUGUUGUGAAAUGUUGGGUUAAGUCCCGCAACGAGCGCAACCCUUAUCCUUUGUUGCCAGCGGUUAGGCCGGGAACUCAAAGGAGACUGCCAGUGAUAAACUGGAGGAAGGUGGGGAUGACGUCAAGUCAUCAUGGCCCUUACGACCAGGGCUACACACGUGCUACAAUGGCGCAUACAAAGAGAAGCGACCUCGCGAGAGCAAGCGGACCUCAUAAAGUGCGUCGUAGUCCGGAUUGGAGUCUGCAACUCGACUCCAUGAAGUCGGAAUCGCUAGUAAUCGUGGAUCAGAAUGCCACGGUGAAUACGUUCCCGGGCCUUGUACACACCGCCCGUCACACCAUGGGAGUGGGUUGCAAAAGAAGUAGGUAGCUUAACCUUCGGGAGGGCGCUUACCACUUUGUGAUUCAUGACUGGGGUGAAGUCGUAACAAGGUAACCGUAGGGGAACCUGCGGUUGGAUCACCUCCUUA
RNAcentral lists this ribosomal RNA (1542 nucleotides) under Burkholderia pseudomallei. RNAcentral's name for it is "bacterial SSU rRNA". It matches the Rfam family "Bacterial small subunit ribosomal RNA". The record is from RNAcentral. Lineage: Bacteria; Pseudomonadati; Pseudomonadota; Betaproteobacteria; Burkholderiales; Burkholderiaceae.